UCUGGUUCUAGUCUGGGCCUCAAUUUGAUGGGGCUUCCUCAUCAAUCAAGGCAGAUUUCUGUUCUGCAGGGGUAGACCCUCUCUGCCAAGUGACUUUAUGGGGGCCAUCAUGACUGUUAAAUUUGAUUCAGGCAAGAUGCACCACUGGGCGAAUUUUAUUGUGAAUUCUCUAUGCCAAGAACUCCUACAAUCUGUCAUCUGAGAAAGCCCCAGAAUGUUGAGACAGGAGCCAAACUGCUCUGCAAGCCAGUACUGGGGACUGAAUUCAGGACCUUGCACUUGCCAGGCAGGCAUGGUGCCACUGAGCUACAUCUCUAGCUUGAACAUUUGUAUCAGAUGGGGUCACUAUACGCCAGCGGGUGUGGAGCAGGCUGUUGGGGACCCUCUCUAGGGAAUACCAAAUGACGGCCGGACUAGUGCACAGUGCAGCAUCCUGCAAAGACUCUGAGCCCUUCUGCUCCGGGGGCAAGGAGACCAUUGGGAAUCUGGGUCCUCCAGUGGAUUGGCCUGGAAUGGCUAAUUAGAAGCUUGACCUUUCACAUGUCUGGGGAAUGUGAGUCUCCAGAACCCAACAAGAUUGGAACAAGGAAGCUCAUACCCUCAAUGCUGUUGGCAGCCACUCUGUGGCCAUGAGAUCCAGCUUUAAAAUGAUCCUUUGAGUAACAGAGCAAAGAGGCAGAAAGAUACUUGGGUUUUGAUGACUUCAAUGGAUAUUGGAUCAGUCAAUACCCUGAAAUCUGUCCUCUGGAUUCUAGAUAGAUGAAGAAAGUGAAAGCUCGGAGAGGCGAAGUGCUUGAUGUCACAUGGUUAGGGAGCUACUGAAAUUCAGCUAAGCAAAUAAUUGAUUAAAAGAAGAUCGAACUCGGGUCCUUGCACUUGUGCAACCACUGAGCUAAAUCCCAGGCCCUUGCUGAUCUUAUAAAGGAGAGAAAUGUGGACACAGGAGAUCCAGAAGAUGUGGCAGGAUCCAAGGAAUGCCAAAGAUUGCCAGCAAAACAGCAGAAGUUAGGAAAAGGCCAUGGGACAGAUUCUCUUGCACAUCCUCAAAAGGAACCAACCCCACUAACACCUUGAUCUUGGACUUCUGGCCUCCUGACAUGUGAGAUGGCAAACUACUUAGUUUGUGGUACUCUGUUACAGUAGUCCAGCAAACUAAUACAGAUAAUGUAAGCAAAUACAGUCUGUGAAUCUGAUGACACUACCGAAAAUGUAUGAUUACUGCUUUAUUGUUUGUGAAGAUGUUGUUGAACCGGUUAGUGGAAAAUAAUCAC
This 1271-nucleotide long non-coding RNA is filed under the name Heterocephalus glaber (naked mole-rat). Its description in RNAcentral is "lncRNA (ENSHGLG00000037146.1)". Lineage: Eukaryota; Metazoa; Chordata; Mammalia; Rodentia; Bathyergidae. The record is from RNAcentral.